CAAAUAUAGAGUUUGGUGAUGGCUCUGAAUGAAUGCUGUCCAAGCGCUUGACACAUGCUAAUCGUACGUUUCAAUUAGUGCGCAAGCUAUUAAUUGAAAAGUGGUGUACAGGUGAGUAAUAUGAUACUUACGCCUACCUUAAAGUAAAAUUAGAUUUUUUAUAUAAAGAAAGGGAAAAAUUCCCGCUUUAAGAGGACAACAAGUGUCGACAAGAGAGGUAGUAGUUGAAGUGAUGGUUUAACUAGCCUGUAUCUCUUGUAACCGUAUUUGAAAAAAUGAUCGGUCACAUUGGGUCUGAAAAAAGCCCAAUGCAUAUUAGUACAGCAGUGGGGAAUAUUGGUCAAUGGCCUAAGGGCUGAACUGGUGACUUGGAAAAGUGAUAAGUUCUAGUUUGAUAAUCAAAAAAAUUAUCUAGAGAAUUGUAUUUUAUAAAGAAUAAAGCUUUGUUUGUAUAUUUAUAAUGACAAUAUAUGUAUUUAGUCUUGACCAAUUACGUGCCAGCAGUCGCGGUAAUACGUAAGAGACAAGUGUUAUUCAUCUUAAUUAGGUUUAAAGGGUACUUAGACGGUCUAAGUAAAAAAAUAAAUACUAGACUAGAGUUGUAUAAAAGAGAAUAGUACUUGAGGAGGAGGGAUUAUAUCCAUUUAUACCAAAGGGACUCGGUAAAUGCGAAGGCAACUCUCUAGGUAACAACUGACGUUAAAGGACGAAGGCACAGAGAACAAAAAGGAUUAGAUACCCAAGUAGUCUUUGCAGUAAAUGAUGAACGUCAUAGGUUAGAAAGACAUUAGUAUUUUCACUUUAAUAGUAAAAAGUGAAAAUAUUAACGCAAUUUAGUCUAUAAAUGAAAGUGUAAGCGUUUCACCUCAAGAGUAAUGUGGCAACGCAGGAACUGAAAUCACUAGACCGUUUCUAACACCAGUAGUGAAGUAUGUUGUUUAAUUCGAUGACCCACGAAAAACCUUACCAUAACUUGAAUAUUUUACAGGAGUUGCACGGCUGUUUUCAGUUAAUGUUGUGAAACUGUGGUUUCCACGUAAUUAACAUAAUCCCUUACUUUAUUUUUUAUUUAUUACUAUAAAGUAUUAUUCCUAAAAAUCAGGAAAAAUAAAGGGGACAAAGACAAGUCAUCAUGGCCUUGAUGUUAUGGGCUAUAGACGUGCCACAUGUGCCUAAACAAAGAGAUGCAAAAACGUGAGUUUAAGCUAAUCUCUCAAAAUAGGAUAUAAAUAUUAAGGAUUGUAGUCUGAAAUUCGACUAUAUGAAUAGGUAAUUACUAGUAAUCGUGAAUCACCAUGUCACGGUGAAUAUAACUUUGGAUUGGUACUAACUACUCGUCGCAUGCUGAAAGGAAAUCAUGUAGUAAGUUUGCUAUAUUUAAUAAUAAGCAAAAAAAUAAUAUGAUUUAUACUUAUAUUAAUAUUCUUCGUAUAUGUGUUUCUGAUUAGUGUUAAGUCGAAAUACGGUUCGUGUAGUGGAAGUUGCACGGGGAUUAUUAAUUUU
This 1503-nucleotide ribosomal RNA is filed under the name Stachybotrys chlorohalonatus IBT 40285. RNAcentral's name for it is "Stachybotrys chlorohalonata IBT 40285 Bacterial small subunit ribosomal RNA". It matches the Rfam family "Bacterial small subunit ribosomal RNA". The record is from Rfam by way of RNAcentral. Lineage: Eukaryota; Fungi; Ascomycota; Sordariomycetes; Hypocreales; Stachybotryaceae.